UUCAACACUACAUUAUCCACACUGGGG
This 27-nucleotide non-coding RNA is filed under the name Homo sapiens (human). Lineage: Eukaryota; Metazoa; Chordata; Mammalia; Primates; Hominidae. The record is from RNAcentral.